RNAcentral lists this microRNA (24 nucleotides) under Gallus gallus (chicken). Its description in RNAcentral is "gga-miR-12237-5p". Lineage: Eukaryota; Metazoa; Chordata; Aves; Galliformes; Phasianidae. The record is from miRBase by way of RNAcentral.
GGGCGCGGGGGGGCUGGGCUCGGC